Molecule: ribosomal RNA, 497 nt
Filed under: uncultured bacterium
Lineage: Bacteria
Description: partial 16S ribosomal RNA
Rfam family: Bacterial small subunit ribosomal RNA
Source: RNAcentral
GACGAACGCUGGCGGCGUGCCUAAUACAUGCAAGUUGAGCGCUGACGGAUGGUACUCUUGCUCACUGGAUGAGCAGCGAACGGAUGAGUAACGCGUAGGGCAUCUGCUAUUUAGCGGUGGACAACAUUUGGAAACGAAUGCUACUACUGCAUCAAACCUCUAAACACAAGAUUUAAGUUUUCAAGAUGCAUUUGCAUCUCUCAUAGAUGAUUCCGCGGUGGAUUAGCUAGCUGGUGAGGUAAAGGCUCAGCAAAGCGGCGAUACAUAGCCGACCUGGAUGGGUGGUCGAGCACAUCUGGACUGGAACACGGCCCAAGCUCCUACGGGGGGCAGCAGUAGGGGAUCAUCGGCAAUGGAGGAAAGUCUGACCGAGCAACGCCGCGUGAGGUAAGGAAGUUUUCGGAGCGUAAAACUCUGUUGGUAGAGAAGAACAUUGGUGAGGGUAGAAAGCUCAUCAAGUGACGGUAACUACCGAAAAAGCGACGGCUAACUACGUG